RNAcentral lists this ribosomal RNA (393 nucleotides) under uncultured bacterium. RNAcentral's name for it is "partial 16S ribosomal RNA". It matches the Rfam family "Bacterial small subunit ribosomal RNA", at positions 523 to 918 of the family's 1533-position model. The record is from RNAcentral.
AUACCGAGGAUCCGAGCGUUAUCCGGAUUUAUUGGGUUUAAAGGGUGCGCAGGCGGGAGAUUAAGUCGGCGGUGAAAUUUUGCAGCUCAACUGUAAAAGUGCCUUCGAAACUGGUUUCCUUGAGUGUAGAUGAAGUAGGCGGAAUUUGUGGUGUAGCGGUGAAAUGCAUAGAUAUCACGAGGAACUCCGAUUGCGCAGGCAGCUUACUAAACUACUACUGACGCUCAGGCACGAAGGCGUGGGGAUCAAACAGGAUUAGAUACCCUGGUAGUCCACGCAGUAAACGAUGAUUACUAGCUGUUUGCGAUACAAUGUAAGCGGCUGAGCGAAAGCGUUAAGUAAUCCACCUGGGGAGUACGUUCGCAAGAAUGAAACUCAAAUGAAUUGGCGGGG